UGCUGCUUCUAUCCCUACUCCAAAAUUGAAGAAUGUGAGCAGGCUACGAACAGAGCACUAUGUGUAAGUGGAUAUUUUCCCCAUCAUGUGACCAAAGUACCAAACACCAACCUAUGAUCAUGGAAAACCCUGUUAAUAUAGUGGUCAGAAGGGGCUAAAUUAUAGAAUGAAAAUGGCUCAUUAAAGUUCUAUUAGCCCAGCAAAUGUAUCAGUAGAAUACACUCGAGAUAAAAAUGUGCUCAACAUACUUAACUUCCUGCUCCCAAAUUUGGACUACAGUUAUACUUGGAAAUUGCUUUAAAAAGUAGACUUGCUGGUAUAGAGGGAAAAAAAGUCUAGGUCAGAGAACUUUGAUGUCAACUAAUCAGUAGUUUAUAAUUGUGACCGUGUGCAAUAAACUACAUUAUAUUCUGAUACUAGCUGCAAUGAUGCAGAUAUGAGCUUCCAGAUAAACAUCCUCUCUUGAAACAGGUAAGUUAUUCUUGAGUUCUCCAAAAUUCUGCAAUUUCAAUGCAUAACAUACUAUUCUAACUUCUAUCUUUCAAUAUUUAUAGAUGGAAAAGCGGGAACCUGAUGAUCCUAGCCCCUAUCUUCUUGCAAUAUGGACACCAGGUAAAAGGAAUACCUUUGAAUGUCAAGCUAUAUAAAGCAGGCUAAGAGAUAGGCACAACACAGCUCAUGCCGUUUAUGAUAUACUUCUGUAAAUAGGAUACAAUGUUAAGAUCACACCAUAGAUUGCCGUUGCGUUAAUAGGAUAUGUCAUGAUAGUUAGAAUUCAAACUACACAUUGACAAGUGCUAGUCAAAAAGAUGUUGUCUGCUUUACUACAAAUUAAUUAGAUGAGCUUCUGUAAACAUGUAUUUAAUAGGUGAAACUGCAAACUCAAUUCAACCACCAGAACAAAGUUGUGGGUCCCAGGAACCAGGAAGACUGUGCAAUGAGAAGACCUGCUUUGCUUGCAACAGUGUAAGAGAAGCUAACACUGAGACAGUCCGAGGAACCAUCUUGGUGAGCAAGAUUUACACAUAUAUAAAUGUUAUGGAAGCACAAUUCGCAAAUACCUCCAAGAUUCACUGACAUUGGCAUCACAAUGUGUACAGAUACCUUGUAGAACUGCAAUGAGAGGAAGCUUUCCCCUAAAUGGGACUUAUUUUCAAGUUAAUGAGGUAAUCUUGUUCAGGCUAUUGCCAACUCUAAUUCUUAGAAGCCUCAGAAGUCAGAAGAAAGGGGUCAAGUGGGAUCUGGGAAACCAGAAGGCAAAACCUUACAAAUUAUCUUUCAGUAUUCAAGAACUAACAUUUUGUUAAUUCCUACACUCCCUAGCACGUAUAAUUUAUUUCAUUAUUAGAUGUUUAUAAAAUUAAUUUGCUAUUACCACACAGGUCUUUGCAGAUCAUGAUUCAAGCCUCAAUCCAGUCGACGUUCCAAGGGAAUGGAUUUGGAAUUUACCAAGACGAACUGUAUACUUUGGAACAUCUGUAUCAUCAAUAUUCAAAGGUAAGAAAUUACCCACCAAGCUUUUUGAACAUUAAAAUUGUUGUCCUGGUUCAGUAGUAAAGGAGAAUGGUUACUUACAAAACUAAUCUUUGUCUACUAGGACUUUCAACCGAGGGAAUUCAAUACUGCUUUUGGAAAGGUAUGAAAUUAUACGUCUAAGUACUUGAAUAUCAUAUCUGCAUGCAACAAACACAAGCUUCUCAUUAGGCACACAAAAGAAUGGUUAUUUAAUACAAUAAGUUCAUACACUUACGAAUAAUUUCCUACUAGAAAACCAGGUUUUAUCAUUUUUUUCUUCUCUAACAUUUUGAACACUCUAAAAAGGUUUUAAAAAGCGACCAUGCAUUUAUUGAAGAAUAAGAGCUAUUAUAAGACAUCCCUAGUUCAAAAUCCUUCCAGAAGCAUUGCAAUUAAUAUGGAAUGAAGUUCAGUCAAGCCAAUUUCACUCUUUUGAGAACUAGCGAUGAAUGAUGAUCUUGCAUGGAUUGAAGCUUUAGCAUGCUUUCACCCAUGCACCUUUAACUGACUCAAAUUAUUUGCAGGAUUUGUUUGCGUAAGGGGAUUUGACCAAAAAACUCGAGCACCCCGGCCACUAAUGGCCAGAUUGCACUUUCCUGCCAGUAAGCUGGCCAAGAUGAAGACUGAAAACAACAAAUGAACCAGCUAUAAUACAAAGAUGAUUGUUACUGCAAGGUACCAACUAGUGUUGAUCCGUAAAGGUAACUAAAAUAGCAAACCAGUAUCUGCCCUUACAGAGAACAAAAAUUUGCAGCCGUAGCAGAGAAGAAAUUUUUUUACUGACAUUGUUGUACACAAUUGUUCUUUGUCUAACAUGAGAUGCAUUUACCCAUGUUAGCACAUCAGAACGAACUGUUUGUUAGUGAAAUUUUGAACCCCAUGGUAAGUGGACUAAUGUAGUCUGUCAAUUUAACAAAACUGUGAUGUUAUUUAAAUUCAUGCUCUAAAGAGAGCCAUUUUUUCAAUAAUAGCCAGAAAUAUUUUUCCCUACUCAUGCUCCAAUCUGUAAUACAGUCUAGACUUGGCAAUUCGUGUAUCUAUGCCGUGUGUUGUGUUGGUAUUAUUUUUCAUGUCAUAUCAUGCUUAAGGUGUUAUAUGCUUUCAAAAGAGUUGACAUGUUAGAAUUAUAUAAUUACAUACAUUUUGACAAUCGUUUAUUCAUAUCAUGUUACUUUUUCAUGUCAUGUUUGCGUCAAUACAUACGCAUUACAUAUGCAGAUAGAAAUAAAACAGUCACGAUAAUUGUUACACCCUGCAGUGGACUUCAUCUCUGCAAUGAUCACAACUAAGGUGUAGUUGAGCUCCAUUACCAUCUGUACUCAGACCUUUUAGUGCUUCAACAACUAUUGAACUUCAACAUCUCAUUGCUAAUUUCAGGUUCAUUUAGAGGACAGAGAGACAUUUCUCACAAACCUUAUUUACCUAACUCUUUCUACUAAAAUAGAGAAUGCUUUAACCUUUCAAAUGGUAAAAUAUUUCAACAAGCUGUGAAAAGCCUUAUGCUUAUAACAUGGUAAAAAUAACAUGAGGUGUAAAAAGCUUUCUUACCACUUAAUUGCUUCAUUGACAAGAAGUCACCCUUCAUUAUAUUAGACUAGGACCUGGUCCAUUACUUUGUAACAAGCCCAUGGUUAACAUUCAUAAUUGUAGGACUGACAUACUUCUAAACAACCACAGAUAGACCUUCCCAAUCUCAGCAAGCCUACAUACAUUCAUGCAAAAACUCAUUAACCGAAUUUCAAAGCCAAUAAUGUAGUAUUGAAAAAUAAAUUGCUCUUAUUGAAAUUGGGUUCUCAAACUUGGCCCAGAUUUGGCAUUUAGACUAAGAUACUGCAGCAAUUCAUGGUGGCACAUAAAGCAAAAUAUGCAUAGUAUAUAAUAUAAUUCCAAAAACAGUCAGGGGCUUGUACAUAUACAUGAUGAAGGGAUAAAUAGCUUUUUCCUUGGGUACGAAUACACCGACAAUAAUAGAAAGUUGAUAAAAUGCGUCUCGAGUACACGUGUGCUUAAAACCUUUCGUAGUACGUGUAUGCUUAAAGUCUUUCCCACUAAAGGGGAAAUCUUUUAUAUGUAUAUUUCAUAGCAAUCAUCCAAUUAUCGUGCAAGAAAACUAUAUAUAUCAAAAUAUGUAUUUAUUACAAAAAUAAGUUAAAAUUGUAUGGAAGAUUCAUCAUAAAUAGCGAUCCAAACAAUUGUUUAACAAACAAUUUACAAGCACUUCUAGAAUAUCAUAAAAGUAGAAGAAAUAUUAGAUUUAGCACUUUUACUUCAUCUUCAAAUUCUCACUAUUUAUCAAAAAAAAUUGAUUUAAUUCAUUGCAAUAUAUUAUACAGCAAUAUAUAAAUAAAUAAAUAAAUAAAUAAAAGAAAUCUUAGAUAUCAAACUCACAGAGCUACAUUCUUCUCUCUUUUUAAAACUUUCUGAAUAUCAAAACAUGUAUUAAAUUUGAAUUAUCAUAAAUUUUUAUUGAAAAUAAUAAAAAUGAAGUAAAAAUUAAUCUUAGAAUUUAUAUUCUUCGAUUCACUUACUUCUAUUUUCUUGUAAACCAAAUAACAAUUUUAUUAUAUACAGUUUAAAAGAUUAUAGGAACAAAAUGAACCAUAGAUUCUUCACUUUCUUCCAUUUUCUCAACAAACAAACAAGGAUGAACAAUUUUAAAAAAAAAACAAUAUUUGAUCGAGAACAAAACAUAUACCAAAAAGAAUUUAAAUCAUUACAAUAAAACAUUAAAAGGAAAAUGAAUCUUAGAUAUUAAACUCAUGGGAUUUAACUUUCUUUUCUUUUCUUUGGGUUUUUUUUUUCUUUUUAAUUUUCUCAAAACCAAAACAUGAAUUAAACUUAAAGCAAAAGGAAUACAUUUGAAAGAUCAAAAAAUUUCAUUGAGAAAAAAACAAAGAAAAAGAACAAUGGAAUCUUAGAAUAUAUACUCUUCAAUUUGCUUUCCAUUUUUCAAAAAAGCAAACAACAAUUUUAUCAUCAUACACAAUUUAAAAAGAUCACAAAUAAAUCAUAGAUUUUUUACCUUCAUUAUCUCAACAAAACAAACAAACAAGGAUGAACAAAGGGAAAAAGAAAAGAUCUAAAACAAAAUUUUAAAAGAACAUAAAUUAAACAAUACCUUCGUUGAAAUCAUAAAAGAGAUUAUAAGAGUGAAA
Molecule: long non-coding RNA, 4670 nt
Filed under: Gossypium barbadense (sea-island cotton)
Lineage: Eukaryota; Viridiplantae; Streptophyta; Magnoliopsida; Malvales; Malvaceae
Description: long non-coding RNA (GBAR_LNC013469)
Source: RNAcentral